Molecule: long non-coding RNA, 1322 nt
Filed under: Panax ginseng (ginseng)
Lineage: Eukaryota; Viridiplantae; Streptophyta; Magnoliopsida; Apiales; Araliaceae
Description: long non-coding RNA (PGIN_LNC015012)
Source: RNAcentral
UUCAGCAUAUAAUGCCCUAUUAAUGCUUGUGUUGACUAUGAGCUACAAACAAAUCUUCCUCUCUUUAUUUGUUGUGUUAUUUUGAACGUUUGAGAUUGAUCAAUGCUGCUGGGUCCAUGAAUUCUGCUCCAAGUUGUACCAAAGGGAUGUGGUUUUUGCAAAAAGAUUUCAGACAGAGGUGUCCUUGACACCGGUGAACGUUUCAGCAAUUCCAGAAUCUAUUACGAAAAAAAAAUAAUAAGUCUACUAUCACAUACAAUCAGUCAAAGUCACAUACUGCUCACAUACACACAUGUAUAUGUUGUGCAGAGCUAGUCACGUGGCCUAUCAAAAUAAGCACAUGAACACUAGCAGUAGCUUUUGAAAUUUAACACUUAAUUUGAAGAUAAGUCUUUGUGAAAUUUCAAAAGCUGCACUUUCAUAGAAGCACAUGAACACUAGAUUCUAUUGGUUGGUACUACUACUAGUGAAAUCCUUAAUCCUUGUGAAAAAUCAUGCUGGGAACAAACUGUUUAGUUCCCUCCUCUUGCCCACACAACCACAUCCUCCCUGCUACAAAUUUAAUGAAAUCAUCUUCUAAUAGAAUAAGAAAACUUGUUCAAGCUCCUUAUCUAGAAGAUUAAUUUUCUACUUAAGUGUGAAAGCAAAUCUACUCAAGUAUAUUGCUUAUACCUGAUGUCAGUGCUAAGCAACAAGUAUAUUGACCACUACGUACCAAAUCCAUGACAACUGCAUGAGUCAUGACCUUCUAAUUAAGCUCAAAUUUCCAUUUCAUGUUUAAAUGGCUGAGGAAAAAGUAGAUCAUGGCACUACAAUCACACCAUAACCCCGUGCCACACUUUGUUACACAGAAUUAGAUGGAGUAUCCGGUUGGACACUGUACUUUGAAGAGUCCAACAUAAGUACUCCUCAAUUUUAUCAAUUUAUACACUAAAAUAAAAUGUCCAGUACGAGUGUCAAGUGUUGGAUACCGAUUCUUUAGGACAAAAUGAAGAAUUCGUUUAACAAAUGGAGUGUCCGAUUGGACACUGUACUUACUUUGAAGAGAGAGUCCGACACAAGUACUCGUCAAUUUUGUCUUUUUAUACACUAAAAUGAAAUGUCCAGUUCUCAUGCUCUCAUGCCCAGAUGCCCUUAUCGAUCCAAGUGUGAGUGUCAAGUGUUGGAUACCGGUAUUUUUAUCCUAAAAAUGAAGAAUUUGUGUAACAAUAAAUAGAAUGAAAACUGGAAACAUAACUAUAGAUAUAAUAAUUUUUAUUUACAGCUUCCCAAUAAAUUUUUAAAAAAAAAGAAGAAGAAGAAGGGAAGAGUUACUGAGGUAC